RNAcentral lists this long non-coding RNA (215 nucleotides) under Lathyrus oleraceus (garden pea). RNAcentral's name for it is "Pisum sativum (pea) long non-coding RNA (PSAT_LNC004660)". The record is from RNAcentral. Lineage: Eukaryota; Viridiplantae; Streptophyta; Magnoliopsida; Fabales; Fabaceae.
GUGGCUAAGCUUGGAUGUGGUUAUCUUUAUUUGAUGCCUUGCUCUUCAAGAUUGAUAUAAUUAUGCAUUUGUAUGUUGCUUGAUUCUAAAUGUCCAAGGGAAUCUGGGUUUUUAUUGACAUUCUUGUCUUUUGGAUUGCUACCCAUUGGUCAGAUCUUUUCAACCCUUAACUUUUAAUUUUAUGCAUAGGAUUAGUCUCUUCAUCUUCUCCCCAU